Molecule: ribosomal RNA, 446 nt
Filed under: uncultured bacterium
Lineage: Bacteria
Description: partial 16S ribosomal RNA
Rfam family: Bacterial small subunit ribosomal RNA
Source: RNAcentral
CCUACGGGAGGCAGCAGUCGAGAAUCAUUCACAAUGGGGGAAACCCUGAUGGUGCGACGCCGCGUGGGGGAAUGAAGGUCUUCGGAUUGUAAACCCCUGUCAUGUGGGAGCAAAUUAAAAAGAUAGUACCACAAGAGGAAGAGACGGCUAACUCUGUGCCAGCAGCCGCGGUAAUACAGAGGUCUCAAGCGUUUUUCGGAAUCACUGGGCGUAAAGCGUGCGUAGGCUGUUUCGUAAGUCGUGUGUGAAAGGCGCGGGCUCAACCCGCGGGAGGCACAUGGAACUGGCAGAACUGGGGAAUGGGAGGGGAACCGGAAUUCUCGGUGUAGCAGUGAAAUGCGUAGAGAUCGAGAGGAACACUCGUGGCGAAGGCGGGUUCCUGGACAUUAACUGACGCUGAGGCACGAAGGCCAGGGGAGCGAAAGGGAUUAGAUACCCGGGUAGUC